Molecule: ribosomal RNA, 784 nt
Filed under: Stachybotrys chlorohalonatus
Lineage: Eukaryota; Fungi; Ascomycota; Sordariomycetes; Hypocreales; Stachybotryaceae
Description: Stachybotrys chlorohalonata partial large subunit ribosomal RNA
Rfam family: Eukaryotic large subunit ribosomal RNA
Source: RNAcentral
GCGAGUGAAGCGGCACAGCUCAAUUUGAAUCUGGCCCCAGGCCCGAGUUGUAAUUUGCAGAGGAUGCUUUUGGCGCGGUGCCUUCCGAGUUCCCUGGAACGGGACGCCAUAGAGGGUGAGAGCCCCGUCUGGUUGGAUACCAAGCCUUUGUAAAGCUCCUUCGACGAGUCGAGUAGUUUGGGAAUGCUGCUCUAAAUGGGAGGUAUAUGUCUUCUAAAGCUAAAUACCGGCCAGAGACCGAUAGCGCACAAGUAGAGUGAUCGAAAGAUGAAAAGCACUUUGGAAAGAGAGUUAAACAGCACGUGAAAUUGUUAAAAGGGAAGCGUUUAUGACCAGACUUGGGCCGGUUAAUCAUCCAGCGUUCUCGCUGGUGCACUUUGCCGGUCCAGGCCAGCAUCAGUUCGCUGCGGGGGAUAAAGGCGUCGGGAAUGUGGCUCCUCCGGAGUGUUAUAGCCCUUCGCGCAAUACCCUGCGGUGGACUGAGGUUCGCGCAUCUGCAAGGAUGCUGGCGUAAUGGUCAUCAACGACCCGUCUUGAAACACGGACCAAGGAGUCGUCUUCGUAUGCGAGUGUUCGGGUGUAAAACCCCUACGCGUAAUGAAAGUGAACGCAGGUGAGAGCUUCGGCGCAUCAUCGACCGAUCCUGAUGUUCUCGGAUGGAUUUGAGUAAGAGCAUACGGGGCCGGACCCGAAAGAAGGUGAACUAUGCCUGUAUAGGGUGAAGCCAGAGGAAACUCUGGUGGAGGCUCGCAGCGGUUCUGACGUGCAAAUCGAUCGUCAAAUA